RNAcentral lists this long non-coding RNA (244 nucleotides) under Elaeis guineensis (African oil palm). RNAcentral describes it as "long non-coding RNA (EGUI_LNC008119)". Lineage: Eukaryota; Viridiplantae; Streptophyta; Magnoliopsida; Arecales; Arecaceae. The record is from RNAcentral.
UGUUAAGCUUAACGAAAACAACUAUUAUCUAUGGAAAAGCAUCAGGACUCCUCUCUUGAGAGCAUAUCAGCUUCUCGAUUAUGCUGACGGUAGCAUCCUACCCCCAUCGAAAACUAUCACAGUUUCUGAUGCAAACACAACCAAAGAAAGCCCGAAUCUAGAAUACAAAAAAUGGCUCAUUCAAGAUCAAUUCGUCCUCACCUGUCUCAUGAUCACUGUCAAUCAAGAGGUCGAAACCCAACUC